AUCGACCUGAACUCAGACGUGGGU
RNAcentral lists this ribosomal RNA (24 nucleotides) under Rotylenchulus macrosoma. Its description in RNAcentral is "partial 28S ribosomal RNA". The record is from RNAcentral. Lineage: Eukaryota; Metazoa; Nematoda; Chromadorea; Rhabditida; Hoplolaimidae.